CCACCGAAAACACCAACGGCUGUGAUGUCGUACAUGUGUUUGGACAGUCAGAUGAUAGGCCAAAUUCAGUUAAAAGCUUCCUUCUCUUCACAACUUUGUCUUCAUCUUCUUUAAACCCAAAAUUCCAGUUAAACAAGUGAGUGAAUGGGGAGGUUGAGAGCAAAAAACAAUAAAGAGAGAGAGAGAAUGACACACCAGAAUAGAGUAUACGUUUUAUGUGCGUAACAGAGAGGGGGAUACUUCUUCUCGCCGAGCUCUCAAAUUGUAGCAGGAAGCUCCAAAACCCAAAAUCGUUGCUACUGCACCUGAACGACACCUCUAUUAAGAUUUAGAGGAAAACACUGGAGAGCCAUGUUUAGAUUCCUUUCGGGAAGUGUAGUUUGGAGCAAAUUCCGUAUUUUAUUUUAAACUUGUGGCUAGUAUUUUGUAUUUUGAAAUGUAGAUAUCCUAUUGGGCCUCAGUAUAUAGUCUUUUAUAAACUUUAUAUGGAUAUAUAGUUUUACUACAAUGUAAAUAUUUUUAUUAUGUUUGCUAUGUUGCACUUUGGUUUCCCUAUUUGGCAUCAGGACGUCACACAUAACUAUGAUUCCUUUGUGGCCAUAACUAUGAUUCCUUUGUGGCCAUGAA
This is a long non-coding RNA of Carica papaya (papaya), 627 nucleotides long. RefSeq lists it as uncharacterized. NCBI's taxonomy places the organism in Eukaryota, Viridiplantae, Streptophyta, Magnoliopsida, Brassicales, Caricaceae. The record is from RefSeq and is a predicted model, not a curated record.